This 244-nucleotide ribosomal RNA is filed under the name uncultured bacterium. RNAcentral's name for it is "partial 16S ribosomal RNA". It matches the Rfam family "Bacterial small subunit ribosomal RNA", at positions 505 to 747 of the family's 1533-position model. The record is from RNAcentral.
GUGCCAGCCGCUGCGGUAAUACGUAGGUGGCAAGCGUUGUCCGGAUUUAUUGGGCGUAAAGCGAGCGCAGGCGGUUUCUUUAAGUCUGAUGUGAAAGCCCCCGGCUCAACCGGGGAGGGUCAUUGGAAACUGGGGAACUUGAGUGCAGAAGAGGAGAGUGGAAUUCCAUGUGUAGCGGUGAAAUGCGUAGAUAUAUGGAGGAACACCAGUGGCGAAGGCGGCUCUCUGGUCUGUAACUGACGCU